Molecule: ribosomal RNA, 497 nt
Filed under: uncultured bacterium
Lineage: Bacteria
Description: partial 16S ribosomal RNA
Rfam family: Bacterial small subunit ribosomal RNA
Source: RNAcentral
GAUGAACGCUGGCGGCGUGCCUAAUACAUGCAAGUCGAGCGAACAGACGAGGAGCUUGCUCCUCUGACGUUAGCGGCGGACGGGUGAGUAACACGUGGAUAACCUACCUAUAAGACUGGGAUAACUUCGGGAAACCGGAGCCAAUACCGGAUAAUAUAUUGAACAGCAUGGUUCAAUAGUGAAAGACGGUUUUGCUGUCACUUAUAGAUGGAUCCGCGCCGCAUUAGCUAGUUGGUAAGGUAACGGCUUACCAAGGCAACGAUGCGUAGCCGACCUGAGAGGGUGAUCGGCCACACUGGAACUGAGACACGGUCCAGACUCCUACGGGAGGCAGCAGUAGGGAAUCUUCCGCAAUGGGCGAAAGCCUGACGGAGCAACGCCGCGUGAGUGAUGAAGGUCUUCGGAUCGUAAAACUCUGUUAUUAGGGAAGAACAAAUGUGUAAGUAACUAUGCACGUCUUGACGGUACCUAAUCAGAAAGCCACGGCUAACUACGUG